RNAcentral lists this ribosomal RNA (250 nucleotides) under uncultured prokaryote. RNAcentral's name for it is "partial 16S ribosomal RNA". It matches the Rfam family "Bacterial small subunit ribosomal RNA", at positions 524 to 773 of the family's 1533-position model. The record is from RNAcentral.
UACGGAGGAUGCAAGCGUUAUCCGGAUUUAUUGGGUUUAAAGGGUGCGUAGGCGGAAGAUUAAGCGUGAGGUGAAAUGCCCCGGCUCAACCGGGGAACUGCCUCGCGAACUGGUCAUCUGGAAUUCUCCUGCCGUGGGAGGAAUGGGUAGUGUAGCGGUGAAAUGCAUAGAUAUUACCCAGAACACCGAUUGCGAAGGCAUCUCACGAAGGGGCGAUUGACGCUGAGGCACGAAAGCGUGGGGAUCGAAC